UUCUUCAGGGAUCCUCCACCGAGGACCUGACACUCUCUCUCUCCCGAACCGUCUCUCAUCUUCCUCCCGAGCGGGCGCUCUCCUACGCUGCAUCGCUCCGGCCGCCGCUCCGAACAGAUCCGGCUGCAAACAUCCGCCUCGCAUCUUCUCUCUCGAACUGCUUUUCCCUCCUUACCCGGCCAUAUCUAGGAGGUACCCCCGAGCUUCCUCCCAGCCAACCCCCUCCGGCAGCGUGGCUGGGUGGUUUCUGUUCGUUGUAGGGCUUGUGCUGAGGAUGGACAACCCACUUCCCCGACCUUGAUCUCAAGUGACGGAGAAACACCACUUUCCAUCUACCUGCCGGGUGCCGGCGUCCCUCGGCUUCCGUGCUUCUGACCUCCAUCCAGGACUGCCGAUCCUUGCCCUGCAGGUACAGUUUGCCAAUUAUGUUGCGUAAAAAUUAGAUGGCUUAAUUUUCUUUGAUCGGCAUAGUUGUAAACUAAUGACUUAUUGUACUGUGAUACUUUUGUUGUUUCUGUGAGUCCACGGCAACCAUUACUGAUGGCAAGUCCAUUGCAAUGGACAGAAGGCUACAGAUUUCUGAAGAAGUUCGUCAUGUGAAAAAUGCAGUUGACAUGUUCCAGGCCUGACUGUCCAAUUGGUAGCCGAUAGAAGGGACUCUCAGUGCUAUAUGAUAUUCAAAGUAAAUGGGUGUGACGAAGUUGGGAUAAAAUCUUUGUUGGCCGAGUUGCCUGGGAAUUGACAGAAGAUGAGGUGGUGGAUUUGGUGUGUAGAAUCAAUGAAGAUACGUCAGUUCAUGGCAGCCUUGUCCAGUCCAGCAUAUGGACGAUGAAAAUAUUCUGAACACCAUUAGCCUAGACAAGGAUGUUGAUUGUUUCCACCCCUUGAACAUUGGCAAUCUCGCCCUCAAGCCAGAAACCUUUGUUUGUUUCCUGUGCUGCAAAAGCUUGCCUCGAGUUAUUGCUCCAAUCUGGGAUUGCUCUCAUGGGAAAACCUAACAGAUGGCAAUGCUUAGCACAGGUCCAUGUGUUUCGUUAAUACCUAUGAAAGUGAACACUGAUUUUUGGAGCAUGUAUAUGAGCCGCUGGUCUACAAGGUACGCAUAAUACAUGUAAAGAAAUGAACUUGCAAAUGUAGGGAUGGCACUCCAGUGACAUGUGUAUUGUCCUUUACAGCAAAGCACUCUUGGUAUGUGCUUCAGUUGUUGUGUCAGUAUAUGAUUAUAGAUUUUAUCACAUACUGUAGAUUAUCUAGCCUAUGUGGGAUUUUAUAUUGCAACCAUGGCAAUUCAGGUUGGUAGUGACAAAUAUAGUGUUCAAUUUUGAUUAGUUAGGAUACAUUAUCCUAGGAAAUUAUACAUAGUGAAUCUGGAUUUCAGAUUGGAACUGAAGCUAAAAUUCUUCUGCUGGUUUGUAACCCCUUUCCGUCCACACCUUUGACAGUUCUAUUCUUUUGAUCUUUGGAGAAAUCUCUCUGCACCUUUGACAGUUCACUACAGAAUUCUUGAGUGCCCAGGACCCAUAAUUAUCGAUGCACAUAGCAUCUUCCCUUGGCUAUUUGCGAUAAUACUGACACCUGGUAUCACGCAAGAUGCAAAUGAAAAUUCUAGAUUGUCUUAUGUAACAUAGAAAAUGAGCCCUCCUUCUAAUGCAAGCUUGGUUCCACAGAUUGCUAACAUGGACACCUUUCUGUUAGGUACAGAUAGUUUUGUUAAGCUUCAUGCACUAGCCACUUGAACCAAAAGUCCGAACUGAUGGAAAGGGCUAGGCAAUCGACAUAUACACUUCACAACACCCCCACUCGCGUGUGACGGGAGAAGAGAAAGUCAACACGUGAAAGAAGAAGAGCACACCGAAACAGCGGUGGCUAGAGAGGGGGGCAACAGCAAUUUUUAGGCUUAAUUGCGAAAACCAUGUGAAAGCCAGGAUUUGAACUUGAGACCUGGGGCUCUGAUACCAUGUUAAGCUUCAUGCACUAGCCACUUGAACCAAAAGUCCGAACUGAUGGAAAGGGCUAGGCAAUCGACAUAUACACUUCACAACAAGUUUUACUGAUAUUAUGGUCAUAUCACAUCCUUGGGUAUGUGUGCCUUACCUUGAAAUUAUUUUUUAGGCAAAUCAACCAACCAUCUUACAACCAUAGUUAGCCACAAGCAACAUGGCUGAUAAUAACAUAUUAAGUUCGCUACUCUUCAUUUGCCAGAUAAGAAUCAAUGCUAAUAAUUUAGCGUGCCAUUUAAGUUCGCGAUAUAGUCAUUGGAGGAUUCAGUAAAACAUGAUUUCUUAGUCUCUGUAUGUUCAAUCAUUUUGGUUUGUCCUGUAGGAAAUAAUUGAUUAAUAUGUAUCCAUCAAGAUUUUUUCUGUUUUCUCCUUACAUGGAGCACUAUAGUUUUCUUCUAAAAGAUAGCCAUGUGGAGCUGAAAACCCUUAGUUGCAAAUCGAGUUUGAUGUUCAUAUUAAUUAUGUAGUUUUACAAGUAUUUGUGAUGUCUUAAUCUGGAAAAUACAUGUGUGAUGUUUCAAGUUGAUGUACAACUGUAAAAGUAAAGCAUGGAAUCCAUUCCCUUAGUUUUUUCCCUUCUUGGGCGUUCAUGUAUCUAGGGAAAUCUUGCCUGGUAUAUAUGAAAGUCACAUUUUAUAUAUCUUGACUAUUCUAACUCAAGGCUUGUGCUUAUUAGGGAAACCUGCUAUUUUUCACAAGCCACAAAAUGUUCUAUGCUGAAAGGAAUCUUAUGGAAACGUGUGAUAGUAAUUUUCUACUUUGCGGUUAGGCUAGGAGAUGAAUUCCUCCAAUGGUCAGUUCUUUAUGAACAAGAUGAAGGUAUACAUUGAUCUUUUACGCAGGUCGCAGUAUACAUUGUUGGUAGGAAUUUGUAUAUGAGUCUUUUGCUCAUGUUUAUGCAACAACCGAAGUUUCCCCAUAUCACUAUAUCAUUGGCCCAUUCAGCAAGCCUUCUAGAUAGAUCAUUUUGAUGUACACUAACUUGCAAAUUAGUAUGACCUGAAUAAAAUAUCUUAAGUAGUUCCUAAGCGGAGAAUUAUCAACCUCUUUAGGAUUACAUAAAUCUUUUGGACCCACAUGCUGAAGCAAGCUGGGCUUUAUUUUCGAUUUUAGUAAAUUUUAUUGCUAAAGGUAACUAAACAUUAUCUGGAAACUCAUUAUGUGUAUAUAACGGGCAUGCUGGCUAAUGCAUGAUUAUGUGUCAUCAUGGGAAUGUAAGGAUGACUUAUCUGCUUGAAAGACUGGAAAAUAUAGUUAGCGGGACUAAUUUAUGAUAAUGUAGGACUAGAAGUUCCAUUUUAUUUUCCGCAUUGCCAAUUGAGUUCACAUAACUUGAGUUCUUUUGACGCCGUGGUGUUAAUGUUAUCUCGAAGGUGUAAGGGUGUUACCUUUUGCGUGCUAUGGGUUAAGUUUGUUGCCUGAGAAAAGUUCUAAUAAGACUCGCAUGAUGAUUAUUCUGCUUGCAAGUUGCAGUACACACAGGAAAGAUGCAUGAAAGUUGGUUCAGCAUUGACUUUAGCUCAGUGAUAGUAAAUGUCAUAUUAUUUAGCAUCUUCAGAAGUUAGCAGUAUACAUUUUCUUAUGUAUCCACAAUGCUAUAUACUGGUAGAUCAAAGGAUUAUGCUUUUGUGAGAUCUGGAGAUGAUAUUGAGCAGACACAUGCCAUGAAUGAGAUGAAUGCGGUGUAUUGCUCUUCUUGGCCCAUGAGAAUUGGCCCUGCAACUCCCAUAAAAUUUUGAGGGUCAGGUUUAGUAAAUAAGAUACCUAGCCACUAUAUAUUCAAUAAUAAAUAUAAUUAUACAUCCAUUUGUAUACAUGUUCUUUGAUUUGCGUCUAUUCCUUCUGGCUACUUCACGUUUUCUAUUGAGGUAGUAUGCAAAUUAAAUUCACCUAAGAUUAUCUAUAUGUCAAUAACAUGAACAUAUGAUUCUGGGGUGAGAUUCAGCUCAUUUUAAACCAUUCAUAGGUUUUCCAAGUGAAACUUCUUUUAGAUAGUUCUCUUCCACUUAACUCUGUUUGUCACUUUAUGGUGGGCUCCUAGGUGAAUUCAUGCAAGUUGCUGUCCUGAUGCAUAGCAUGCUUCAUAUGGAGCAGAUUCUCAGGUGCUAGGUGUUGAUCAAAGGAACAUGAGCUGGAUAUGAUUUUUUUUUUUUUUUUUUUUUUUUUUUUGCGUCUAGAGUUGUUGUGUUAGCUGUGCAACCUUCUACAUGGAUCUCUUGGGCAAGUUUGCCGUCAUCCAAUGACACUAGAAGCCAUGCGGCAUAACUCGCAACAGAUAGAAGUGGGGAUAUCAAUGAAGGCCAGGUUGAAGUUUCACCUUGGUGAUGAGGUGUAUUUCUAGUUGAGGUGAUACAAUCUGGCUAAUGAGGUCUUUACUCCUUGAUGACAUUGAGGGCCUCUGUCAACCGCCUUCUUACAUAUGAUACAGAAGUUGGUAGUUGUUCACAUCGCAAUUUGGAGCCGUAGUCAACUAUAGCUAUUUUUGUAAAUUCAUUUCAAGAAUUGGUGUUUACCGUGGUCGUGAUUGUUAUGUAAUUAUUGAUAAUCUGGUA
Lolium perenne is the source of this 4552-nucleotide long non-coding RNA. RefSeq lists it as uncharacterized. Lineage: Eukaryota; Viridiplantae; Streptophyta; Magnoliopsida; Poales; Poaceae. The record is from RefSeq and is a predicted model, not a curated record.